Molecule: ribosomal RNA, 473 nt
Filed under: uncultured Alphaproteobacteria bacterium
Lineage: Bacteria; Pseudomonadati; Pseudomonadota; Alphaproteobacteria
Description: bacterial SSU rRNA
Rfam family: Bacterial small subunit ribosomal RNA
Source: RNAcentral
GGCGGCACGCCUAACACAUGCAAGUCGAGCGCUACCUUCGGGUGGAGCGGCGGACGGGUUAGUAACGCGUGGGAACAUACCCUUUUCUACGGAAUAGCCUUUGGAAACGAAGAGUAAUACCGUAUACGCCCUUCGGGGGAAAGAUUUAUCGGUUAAGGAUUGGCCCGCGUUAGAUUAGAUAGUUGGUGGGGUAAUGGCCUACCAAGUCUACGAUCUAUAGCUGGUUUGAGAGGAUGAUCAGCAACACUGGGACUGAGACACGGCCCAGACUCCUACGGGAGGCAGCAGUGGGGAAUCUUAGACAAUGGGCGAAAGCCUGAUCUAGCGAUGCCGCGUGAGUGAAGAAGGCCCUAGGGUCGUAAAGCUCUUUCGCCAGGGAUGAUAAUGACAGUACCUGGUAAAGAAGUUCCGGCUAACUCCGUGCCAGCAGCCGCGGUAAUACGGAGGGAACUAGCGUUGUUCGGAAUUACUGG